CAUUUUAACACCAAAGACUGGUUGAAAAGUCCAUAGUUUCCUCUUACAGCUUCAUCUAAAAACUUGUUGACUUCUCCCCACAUCACCUGUAGACAAUCAGUUUCUGAAGGAUAAUUCCUUCUUAAUUAAUGCAAAGAUUAAAAAUCUUUUAACUCUCUGUAAUAAAUAUGUGUAAACAUUUGUAAGUCAGAUAGGAUGGGAGAGUUAAUACUUCAUAAAUGUGAUACAAAUGAUGGUUUCCUACAAAUGUAACUUUGUGAAAGAAGAAACAUUCAGAAGUUUUAAAAGUUACUUUAUUAACUCUGUCAUUAAUUCAAAGAGUAAUGUUACAUUCCGUACAUUAACUCCUUUCUCUUCUUUAACUUUUCUGAUGGAUAAACGUAAAUGAUAUACCUAUUUAAGGAGAAUCAUUUGGGAGCUAAACAUGCAGAAAAUAUAGAAAACAAAUUACUCUCUCCCUCAUCAAUUCUUUGCUUUAGUCUUGGCUUCCUAUUCUUUUAAACUCUUGGACAAUUGGUUUAGGCAACCUCUAAACUUCCAGCCACGAGUGCACGUGUUUAGAAGUAGCUGUGGAACCUUGGGGAGCGACUGGAUAGAAGCAUUUGCACCAGAGUCGGGCCGAAAUCGCUUUCAAGGCAGUGGCUUACCACGACACAGUGUUUGUGAUAACUUUCUUACUAUUAUUAAUUCCUAUCCAAUAUCAAUAUUGUAGCAUUUUUCCAACAAUUUGAAAGCGAUCUCCUUACUUACAAUAUUGAUAAAUGGCUAUUUCUUUGAACAAAACUUUUUCUGGUUUGUCAAAAUUGAGCCAUUGAACGAAAAUAAUUUUAAAAGAUGGUCACAAAGACUUUUUAUUUUCUUAGAACAAUUAGAAGUUAAUUAUGUUUUGUUUAAUAAUGGAUCUAACAUAAUUACUGGUUCUAAUACCGCUAUGAUUGUUGAUGAAUUUGGUAAAAAGAAGACUAAAAAGAAUAACAUAAAUGCUAGAGGGUAUUUAUUGAGUCAUAUGACUAAUACUUUAUUUGAUUUAUUUUUUACUAACAAAUCUACUAAAGAAAUAUGGGAUAGCUUGCAAAACUCAAAACAGGGGGAACAAAAUAAUGUCCAAGUUCAUCUUGUUGAGAAUGAUGACGUGAUUGCGACAGUAGUCGUCGAGACGAACUUGAUGUCUAACAAGACUGAGUUGGUGUUGGACAUAGGAGCCUCAAGGCAUUUCUGCCCCAACAAAGAGAAAUUCCAUGACUUUGAGGAAUCCACCAAUGGCAAGUGCGUCUACAUGGGUAACUCCGCUACUGCUGGAGUUAUGGGUAAAGGAAAAAUUUUACUUAAAUUAACUUCUGAAAAAAUAUUAUCCUUGAACAAUGUUCUGUAUGUUCCCUCGCUCCGUAGAAACUUAGUUUCUGGAGCACUUCUCAAUAAAGUAGGCCUUAAACUUAUUUUUGAAGCCGAUAAAAUAAUUAUUUCUCGUGGAGGAAACUUUGUUAGGAAGGGAUAUCUUAGUGGGGGCUUAUUUGUACUGAACAUUGAUCAUGAGAUUGUCAAUAAUGUAAAUAUUCCUAAUUUUGCUUAUAUUGCUGAGUCUAUUAAUUUAUGAAAUGGUAGGCUAGGUCAUGUUAAUAUUGCUGCUAUUCAAAAACUUAGAAAAAUAGGAUUAAUUCCUACCAUAAAUAUUUAUGAUAUUUCUAAAUGUCCUCUGUGUGUAGAAGCAAAGCAUGCUAAGAAACCUUUUAAAUAUGUUACUAGUAGAAAGACCGAAUUGCUUGAACUAGUACAUUCAGGCUUAGCAGAUUUUAAGAACACUAUUUGUAAAGGUGGAAAGAAGUAUUACAUUACUUUUGUUAAUGACUUUUCUAGGUACACUAAGGUAUAUCUCCUUAAGUCUAAAGAUGAGGCUGAAAGCAUGUUUUUAAAAUUCAAAGAAGAAGUAGAAAAUUAAUUAGACAGGAAAAUCAAGAGAUUUAGAUCUGACAGGGGCGGUGAAUGUAAUACUAAAACUCUAGAAGAUUUUUGUGAGAAAAAUGGUAUUAUCUAUGAGUUUAGUGCUCCUUAUACUCCCCAACAAAAUGGUGUAGCUGAACGAAAGAAUAGAACUCUUAAGGAAAUGAUGAAUUCUAUGCUUUUAAGCUCAGGUCUACCUGACUAUAUGUGGGGAGAAACUGUCUUGUCUGCAUGCUAUAUUCUUAAUAGAGUCCCUCAUAAAAAGUUAGACAAGACCUUAUAUGAGUUAUGGAAAGUAUUUGCCUCUAACUUGAAAUUUCUAAAAGUGUGGAGGUGUUUGGCUAAGAUUGGUCUACCUUAUUUUAAACGAGUAAAUGUAGGUUCUAAGACCUUUGAUACUGUCUUUAUUGGUUAUUCUUAAAACAGUGUUGCAUAUAGAUUUAUGUCUUUAAAUGAUUAUUCUAUUUGUGAAUCUAGAGAUGCAGAAUUUUUUGAGCAUGUUUUUUCGUUGAAAAAUGUUGUGCCUAGUAAUGUGCAAAAUAAUACUUCUGUAUCUGUGUCUGUUAACUCUCAUGUUAUGCCUGCUUCUGAUGUUAAUGCUAAUGAGUAUGAAAAUGAACUAAGAAGGAGUAAAAGACGUAGAACUGAGACUAGAUUUGGUCCUAAUUUUAUCACCACCUUCUUAACUGAGGAUUUUGAUAUCGAUACUUUAAAUGAUGAAUUAGUGUCUAUCUACUUAAUAGAAAAAGACCCUAAGACAUAUGAUGAAGCAAUGAGUUCGAUAGAUGCGAUAUUUUGGAAAGAGGCUACUAAAAGUGAAUUAGACUCUAUAGUUUAUAAUCACACAUGGGACUUGUAUGAUUUGCCUAAAGGUUGUAAACCCAUAAGUAGCAAGUGGAUAUUCAAGAAGAAAUUAAGGCCUGAUGGUAAAAUUGAUAAAUAUAAGGCUAGACUUGUGAUUAGGGGCUUUAACCAAAAGAAACGUGUUGAUUAUUUUGAUACUUAUUCUCCUGUGACUAAAAUACCGACCAUUAGAACUCUUAUUGCUCUAGCUGUUAUUCACAAUUUAGUGGUACACUAAAUGGAUGUCAAAACUACAUUUUUAAAUGGUGAUUUAGAGGAAGAGAUCUAUAUGACUCAUCCUGAGGGUUUUGUGGUUUCAGGAUAAGAGGAUAACGUAUGCAAAUUAAGAAAGUCCUUAUAUGAACUUAAGCAGCCACCUAAGCAGUGGUAUGAAAAAUUUGAUUUCACAUUCAUCUGAUACCUGUGUUUAUUCUAAAAUAAUAGGAUCAGACUGUGUGAUUAUAUGUUUAUAUGUGGAUGACAUGUUAAUCUUUGGCCCUAAUGUGAAUGUUGUAAAUGAGACUAAGAAAUUUUUAUUUUCUAAAUUUGAAAUGAAAGACCUUGGAGAAGCUGAUGUGAUUUUAGGAAUAAAAAUCAAAAGAAAUGUUAAUGGUUUCUCCUUGUGUCAGUCUCAUUAUAUUGAGAAAAUGUUGAAAAGGUUUAAUUGUUUCGAUGUAGUUUCAGUGAGAACUCCUUAUGAUCCUAGCAUACACUUGAAAAAAAAUAAAGAUUUCAGUGUUUCUCAAACUGAAUAUGCUAAAAUAAUUGGGAGUGUAAUGUUUCUCAUGAACUAUACUCGGCCUGAUAUAACUUAUGCUGUUAGUAGAUUGGGUAGAUAUACUCAUAAUCCCAAUAAUGAACAUUGGCAUGCUCUUUAUCGCUUGUUAAGGUACUUGAGAGGUACUAUGGAUUGGUGUUUGCAUUUUAAUAAAUUUCCUGCUGUUUUAUAAGGUUUUUGUGAUGCAAAUUGGGUGACUGACAAUUAUGAAGUUAGCUCUACCAGUGGCUAUGUGUUUACUUUGGGUACAGGUGCUAUUUCAUGGAAGUCUUCAAAGCAGACUUGUAUAGCAUAUUCUACUAUGGAAUCUGAAUUCAUUGCUCCCGAGUUGGCAGGGCAAGAAGCUGAGUGACUGAGAAAUCUUUUGACAGAUGUGCCUUUAUGGGGAAGACAAAUGUCACCAGUCUCUUUACAUUGUGACUCACAGACGGCAAUUGGAAUUGCUAAAAAUAGUGUGUACAAUGGUAAAAAGAGACAUAUUCGCAUCAGACAUGGUGCAAUUAAACACUUAUUGAAACAUGGUGUUAUUUCCUUGGAAUAUGUAAGAUCCUAAAGAAACUUGGUGGAUCUUAUGACCAAGGGCUUGACAAGAAAAAUAGUCAUUGAAUCGUCGAGGGGGAUGGCGCUAAAGCCCAUGGAUUGAGGUAAUAUGGUGGAUACCCAUUUGUGGUCAAACGAAGCCAUAUAGGUCGUCAAUAAACACUACAUAUCCUAUCCCUAUGGCGUGAGGUAGUGUAUUAUAAGGUUGAGCCUAUUUUUUCUCUUAAUGAUCCAUAGCCUUAAGGUGGUCUAUGAGAUAGACUUGAUGGGUCACCUACGUGAGUGUAAAAGGUUGGUCUCUUUUUUAUGAAAGAUUUGGAUUAUCUUUCUAGAGCACUCAUGAGACCCAAGGUUUGUGUGCAUGACCAUAAACGCACUUUGUAGUAUCGCGGAGACUGCUUAAAAUCAAGGAUAUAGUAUGUGUUAUGGGGGUCUCAACUUAUGUCCAUCUAGUUCAAAAGUACUUCACUUUUUGGAUAUUUGUUGUUGCCUCACAUCACUACGUGCCAAUUCAAAUCGAAAGAUAUUGACACUUAAGUACAUGUUCCUUCCAUUUGCCCAAAAACUAUUCCAUUCUUUAUCUUUGCGUUAGUGGGGGAUUGAAGGAUAAUUCCUUCUUAAUUAAUGCAAAGAUUAAAACUCUUUUAACUCUCUGUAAUAAAUAUGUGUAAACAUCUAUAAGUUAGAUAGGAUGGGAGAGUUAAUAUUUCCUAAAUGUGAUACAAAUGACGGUUUCCUACAAAUGUAACUUUGUGAAAGAAGAAACAUUCGGAAAUUUUAAAAGUUACUUUAUUAACUCUGUCAUUAAUUCAAAGAGUAAUGUUACAUUACGUACAUUAACUCCUUUCUCUUCUUUAACUCUUCUGAUGGAUAAACGUAAAUGAUAUACCUAUUUAAGGAGAAUUAUUUGGGAGCUAAACAUGCAGAAAAUAUAGAAAACAAAUUACUCUCUCCCUCAUCAAUUCUUUGUUUUAGUCUUGACCUCCUAUUCUUUUCAACUCUUGGGCAAUUGGUUUAGGAAACCUCCAAACUUCCAGCCACGAGUGCACGUGUUUGGAAGUAGCUGUGGAACCUUGGGGAGCGACCGGCUAGAAGGAUUUGCAUCGGAGUCGGGCCGAAAUCGCUUUCAAGGCAGUGGCUUACCACGACACAGUGUUUACGAUAACUUUCUUACUAUUAUUAAUUCCUAUCCAAUAUCAAUAUUGUAGCAUUUUUUCCCACAGUUUCAACAGACCUUAUCUGUCAAAAUAUCUAGUACGCAGGUGGGGCAAUAAUUUCAUAGCAGCGGGGAAUAGAAAAUAUCUAUCAAAAUAUCUAGCUUUCUUUUUUUGCGAGUGGGUGGAAUAGAAAAUGACGGUUUCAUAGCAGCAGUCGGAUAUUGAAAGAUUGAAAUAUGUAUGCAUCACUCUCAUGUAUCAAAAAGAAAACAUAGAAAAGGCCGUCAACUAAGAGGAUGUUUGGCAUGAAGGAAAAUGCUAGAAAAUAUUACUUCCUCCGUCCAUGUUAUUUGUAUCAUAUUGUUAUGACCCCAUAUAUUUGUAUAGUCAAAAUCGAGUUACACCAUAUAGCUAUCCUAGAAUUAAGAAGCCAUCGAAAAAUGUAUGUUAAUUUGAUAAAUCUGGAUACUUUUGAAAUUAUAUGGACAUGACAUGAGCCCAUCCUUCGUUACAGCUAUAAACUAAUACCACCCAAAUGGGCAUCCAAUUGAUUUUAUCCUCAACAGCGGCAUAGCCAAUGUGUGGUUCCACAAAGUGGAAUCUGGAAAGGGUAGAGCGUACACUGACCUUAGAGAGGUUGGCUGCGUUAGACCACACAGAAAAACUGUCUAAAGCAGUUCAAGAAAAGUAGUAUCAAAAGUGAAAGCAUAACAAAAUAAAAUACUUCGAUAAUCAUAUAAGGUCAGAAUUCAAAUUAACAACUUAAAAUUUAGAAAAUUUUUCAAGUAAUUUUUUUUUCAAUUUCCUUCUCUAACAUGUAUAUAACAAGACGAAUAACUACCAGUACUUAAUUACUAGUUCAAGAAGAACAAUCCCUAAUGAAACAGAGGAUAUCCAAUACAUGUCAACAAUUAACAUUAUAUCAGCAAACAAGUCACAAGUAAUGUGCAAGAAAAAAUUGAAAAGCUUACCACUUUCAACUCCAACAACCCGUCAAAUGGCUGAUAUGUAGCAAUUCUGCUUAUACUCGAAUCCCGAGUCGUCGUCAUCAUCUUGACACAUUUUCUUCCAGCCAUUCUUGAACUAAAUCCAAUGACCACUAUAACCAUACAAACAGAGACAAUUCAAAAUGGUCAAAACAACAAAUAAAAGAAACAAAUAGAAAGGAAAAAGUUCAAUGCCCCAACAAGAAUGUAC
This 6453-nucleotide long non-coding RNA is filed under the name Capsicum annuum. Its description in RNAcentral is "long non-coding RNA (CANN_LNC021323)". Lineage: Eukaryota; Viridiplantae; Streptophyta; Magnoliopsida; Solanales; Solanaceae. The record is from RNAcentral.